Molecule: ribosomal RNA, 490 nt
Filed under: uncultured bacterium
Lineage: Bacteria
Description: partial 16S ribosomal RNA
Rfam family: Bacterial small subunit ribosomal RNA
Source: RNAcentral
AUUGAACGCUGGCGGCAGGCCUAACACAUGCAAGUCGAACGGUAACAGAAAGCAGCUUGCUGCUUUGCUGACGAGUGGCGGACGGGUGAGUUAUGUCUGGGAAACUGCCUGAUGGAGGGGGAUAACUACUGGAAACGGUAGCUAAUACCGCAUAACGUCGCAAGACCAAAGAGGGGGACCUUCGGGCCUCUUGCCAUCGGCUGUGCCCAGAUGGGAUUAGCUAGUAGGUGGGGUAACGGCUCACCUAGGCGACGAUCCCUAGCUGGUCUGAGAGGAUGACCAGCCACACUGGAACUGAGACACGGUCCAGACUCCUACGGGAGGCAGCAGUGGGGAAUAUUGCACAAUGGGCGCAAGCCUGAUGCAGCCAUGCCGCGUGUAUGAAGAAGGCCUUCGGGUUGUAAAGUACUUUCAGCGGGGAGGAAGGGAGUAAAGUUAAUACCUUUGCUCAUUGACGUUACCCGCAGAAGAAGCACCGGCUAACUCCGUG